AUAUUAUUAUGUUGUACACUAAAAUGCUUUAAGAGUUUUUAGUAGCUGUUGAUCAUAGGACAUCAGGAUUUAUACGAGUUGCAAGAAUGCUAUAGUCUAUUUCUUCGAGUAGGAUGGAUGUACAUAACGCGUGCGUAUGUCUUUGAAUUUAGCUGAUGAAGGACCAGUGAAGCCCAUUUUCUAUAUGUAAUCCUUGUAGAUUUUUCUGAGUGCCUGCACAGUGUGUAAUCAUUUAACUUGGGUUAGAAAUAAAAA
RNAcentral lists this unclassified non-coding RNA (255 nucleotides) under Hevea brasiliensis (rubber tree). The record is from RNAcentral. Lineage: Eukaryota; Viridiplantae; Streptophyta; Magnoliopsida; Malpighiales; Euphorbiaceae.